RNAcentral lists this ribosomal RNA (481 nucleotides) under uncultured bacterium. Its description in RNAcentral is "partial 16S ribosomal RNA". It matches the Rfam family "Bacterial small subunit ribosomal RNA", at positions 28 to 507 of the family's 1533-position model. The record is from RNAcentral.
GAUGAACGCUGGCGGCGUGCUUAACACAUGCAAGUCGAACGAAGCACUUUAUUUGAUUUCCUUCGGGACUGAUUAUUUUGUGACUGAGUGGCGGACGGGUGAGUAACGCGUGGGUAACCUGCCUUGUACAGGGGGAUAACAGUUGGAAACGGCUGCUAGUACCGCAUAAGCGCACGGCAUCGCAUGAUGCAGUGUGAAAAACUCCGGUGGUAUAAGAUGGACCCGCGUUGGAUUAGCUAGUUGGUGAGGUAACGGCCCACCAAGGCGACGAUCCAUAGCCGACCUGAGAGAGUGACCGGACACAUUGGGACUGAGCCACGGCACAAACUCCUACGGGAGGCAGCAGUGGGGAAUAUUGCACAAUGGGCGAAAGGCUGAUGCAGCGACGACGCGUGAGCGAAGAAGUAUGUCGGUAUGUAAAGCUCUAUCAGCAGGGAAGAUAAUGACGGUACCUGACUAAGAAGCACCGGCUAAAUACGUG